UUUUACAGUUAUUUACCAUAUAUCAACCAGUAUAAUACUGUAAAUUCUCUUUACAGUUCAUAACUGUAAUUCCCUUUGCAUCAUGGGAAUUUUCUGUGACAUUAAACACCAAAUACAGUGAUUUGCUGUAUUUUUAAAAAAUAAAGUAUGAUACUGUAUUUACCACAACGGACUAUUUGGCGCUAUUUGGAUCGUCAGGAUUUGCUUUACAAUUUAGAUUAGGAACCAUCAAGUGCAGGGUUUUGCCUGAGGAGAGUGAUCAGCUGACGAUGCCGGAGAACAUAAUAAGAGCUGCGUCCAAGGACAGACACCUUGCGAAGAUUUUUUCAUCCCUUAAGAGGAAGAACAGCAAACAAGCAAGGUAAAUAUGUGUGUGACUGCGUGUGCCCGCGGUUGUCCGCACCCCAAUUUUAUAGGUUAACAUUUGUCAGCAUUGGCACUAAAAAUGAGGUAAACCUAAUGUUUUAUAUAUAUAAAAAAACGUUGUGAGUUGAAUUUAUUGUAUUAACCCCGCUAACAACACGGAACUGUUACGUCGUGUAUUUGCAGUCGCAAGUUUUGCUCGAGGCCAGAGCUCACGGUUCUGUCUGGAGACUAACGGUUUCUUGUCAGCAUUGAGGCUAAAAACUGAGGUAAGUUAAACCUAACGUUUUAUUUACAAAAAUAUUUUGUGGUUUUAUUGAAUUACCGAUUAAAAGCAUUUUUUUAUCGAGCACAGUUAAGCUUAACGUUAUAUUAAGACGAAGUUAGUUAGUAAAUAACGUUGGCUUCUAACUUAGUUGAGUAAUAGCAUCGUGUUUUUUUCCAUUUAAACGGUGUCAUUUUUAUAUUUUUCCUCAUUUUUGACAUUUGGGUCGACAGUAUGCUUUAAGAAUUUGAUUAGGAACUAACAGUGCAGUGCAGAGGCCAGAGCUCACGGUUCUGGAUUCUGUUAACGGUUUCUUUUCAGCAUUGGGGCUAAAAACUGAGGUAAACUUAACGUUUAAAAAGAAAAGAAAAGACGAGUGUAUUGAGUUACGAUUAAAAACCAGAUGUUUUUUUUUUUUUCGAGCAAAGUUAAUAUUUAUUUUAAGACGAAUUAGGCCUAGUCUAUUGUGAAAUACAUUAAAUUUUAUUUUUAAGCUGCAUUUUAAACAUGUAGUAAUAAUAGGUCUUUUUGUGUUUUAAAAACAGCUUCAACAAAGGCAUCCAUCAAGAAAGACAUGAGCCUUCCAGCCACACCAAGACUCAUAAUGCUUGGGAACAAUUUCUCUCUUCCACAAAGUGGAUGGUAAGCAUUGAGGGAAAGGUGGCCUAUGUUUUGGAUGAGCACCUGGGAUGUGCAGAUGCCUUUCUGUAUUCAUCUUCUUCUUCAACGUUUUCAACAUUGAAUACCAGGAGACUGCCUGUGCAACACUGGAACUCAUAAAACAGUUUUUUGUGAGGAUAAACCCAAAGGAGGGAACAAAAUGCACCGCCAAAACCGGAGUGAGUCGGAGGACAGGGGAAGUUGUGAAGAGAAAGACAACAGUAAUCAACAACAGUGUCAUCCUUUCUUCGCCACCUAAUGGAGUUUGAGUGGAGAAACUCAGACUAGGUGAGAUGCUUCUUAACAGGACAUCUACUGUAUACAGACACUUUCAAUUUGAGGAUACUAAUGCAGUUUACUUUUAAUUCAUCCUGCAAUAAUGAUUACAAUGUUGUUUUUGAUUAAAUUGAAUUGAGGUGAUUCAGUAAUAUGAUGAUUUUGGAGGAUGUAGUUUGUGCUGCUUCUAUUAUUUACUGACAGUUUUCUAUUUAAUUAUCUAUUCUGUUAAGCUAAAUAUCCAAAACACCUCUCUGUAAUAUGGAAUCAGGUUCAGCAUCACUACAAAGAACAUUCUUCAAAAUAUUCAUAGCAUUGAAUCACCACCUCCCUAAAAUAGUUUCAACAAUCUUCAUGAUGGCAUUGCAGGACUGGAUUAAACAGCAUUUGUUUUGUUAGUUUACCUCAAAGUGUUAACCAUGUGUAUAAAAUACUGUUUAACUAUAUGAUGAAAUGUAAUAGGGUUCAUUUUUAGGAUUUUUUAAAAUUAAAUUCUCUGUGUAAAUGUGCAAAUUUUAUGACUAACUUUGUCAUUCUUACCUAGAGGGACUUCUGACAGAUUCCUUGACAUAAUGAAGAAUAUUCAUGGUUGUUUCAAGUCAUCAAAUGUGCCAGGUUUAUUGACUUCCAAAGAAGAUGAGAAACUUGAGUACUUACCUACUUUCAGAAUAUAUUUGCUUUGGACAUUUAGGUUUUAGUCAUGUAUAUGAGUAUUUUACACCAAAUUUACAGUAUUCUUAAGUGACGUAUUUCUCAUGUAAUUUCCUAUGAAUUUAAUAAUUUAAUGCACAUUCAAUAAUAUGUUAUUUUGUCAAUUCUUUAAUUUAUUCCUUGUUAAUGGAUGUUAAAUCCAGUAUACAGACAAAGGACAAAAAAAUGUUUGCACUGUCCCAG
Long non-coding RNA from Carassius auratus (goldfish), 2458 nucleotides. RefSeq lists it as uncharacterized. The transcript is spliced from 3 exons. The record is from RefSeq and is a predicted model, not a curated record. NCBI's taxonomy places the organism in Eukaryota, Metazoa, Chordata, Actinopteri, Cypriniformes, Cyprinidae.